GACCAUAUGAUCUAAUGGUAUGAUACUACUACUUCACAGUAGUUAUACGAGUUCAAUCCUCGUUGUGGUUA
RNAcentral lists this transfer RNA (71 nucleotides) under Fermentozyma sake. Its description in RNAcentral is "[Candida] sake tRNA-Glu". It matches the Rfam family "tRNA". From Rfam's summary of the family: Transfer RNA (tRNA) molecules are approximately 80 nucleotides in length. Their secondary structure includes four short double-helical elements and three loops (D, anti-codon, and T loops). Lineage: Eukaryota; Fungi; Ascomycota; Pichiomycetes; Serinales; Debaryomycetaceae. The record is from RNAcentral.